GAAGCACGCUGGACCGCCGCUGGUGCAAGUCUCGAAAGAGCGCACUGGAGGAACGUCCGGACUGCACAGGACAGCGCAGGAGCUAACGGCUCUCCACCGCGAGGUGAGGAUCAGAGCAACAGAGACGAGUCGGCCGGGGCGACCCGGCCGGGUGAAACGGGCAAUCUCUGCGCGCAGCAACACCAAGUAGGCCAACGUCGAUGUGGUUCCGCAGAGUUGGCGGGUAGGUGGCACCGAGCCGUCUGGCGACAGACGGCCCAGAGUAAUGGCGGUCACGCUGAGGCGCUCGCAAGAGCAUCUCAGUGCACAGAAUCCGGCUUAUAGGCGCGCUUCACAC
This 337-nucleotide RNase P RNA is filed under the name Variovorax sp. SRS16. RNAcentral's name for it is "RNaseP_bact_a". It matches the Rfam family "Bacterial RNase P class A". Rfam says of the family: Ribonuclease P (RNase P) is a ubiquitous endoribonuclease, found in archaea, bacteria and eukarya as well as chloroplasts and mitochondria. Its best characterised activity is the generation of mature 5'-ends of tRNAs by cleaving the 5'-leader elements of precursor-tRNAs. The record is from RNAcentral. Lineage: Bacteria; Pseudomonadati; Pseudomonadota; Betaproteobacteria; Burkholderiales; Comamonadaceae.